RNAcentral lists this ribosomal RNA (216 nucleotides) under uncultured bacterium. Its description in RNAcentral is "partial 16S ribosomal RNA". It matches the Rfam family "Bacterial small subunit ribosomal RNA", at positions 524 to 738 of the family's 1533-position model. The record is from RNAcentral.
UACGUAGGGGGCAAGCGUUGUCCGGAUUUAUUGGGCGUAAAGAGCGUGUAGGCGGUUUGGUAGGUCCGCUGUGAAAACUCGAGCUCAACCUCGAGACGCCGGUGGAAACCAUCAGACUAGAGUCCGGAAGAGGAGAGUGGAAUUCCUGGUGUAGCGGUGAAAUGCGCAGAUAUCAGGAAGAACACCCCGUGGCUAAGGCGGCUCUCUAGUAACGGG